Molecule: non-coding RNA, 23 nt
Filed under: Cricetulus griseus (Chinese hamster)
Lineage: Eukaryota; Metazoa; Chordata; Mammalia; Rodentia; Cricetidae
Source: RNAcentral
CACCAUGGAAGCUCACCGGGCAG